Molecule: transfer RNA, 70 nt
Filed under: Rathkea octopunctata
Lineage: Eukaryota; Metazoa; Cnidaria; Hydrozoa; Anthoathecata; Rathkeidae
Description: tRNA-Trp
Rfam family: tRNA
About the family: Transfer RNA (tRNA) molecules are approximately 80 nucleotides in length. Their secondary structure includes four short double-helical elements and three loops (D, anti-codon, and T loops).
Source: RNAcentral
AGGGGGCUCGAUCAAGUAGAUCAAAUAGUCUUCAAAAUUAUUAGUGUUGGUUCAAGUCCAGCGCCCCUUG